GACGAACGCUGGCGGCGUGCUUAACACAUGCAAGUCGAACGGAAAGGCCCUGCUUUUGUGGGGUGCUCGAGUGGCGAACGGGUGAGUAACACGUGAGUAACCUGCCCUUGACUUUGGGAUAACUUCAGGAAACUGGGGCUAAUACCGGAUAGGAGCUCCUGCUGCAUGGUGGGGGUUGGAAAGUUUCGGCGGUUGGGGAUGGACUCGCGGCUUAUCAGCUUGUUGGUGGGGUAGUGGCUUACCAAGGCUUUGACGGGUAGCCGGCCUGAGAGGGUGACCGGCCACAUUGGGACUGAGAUACGGCCCAGACUCCUACGGGAGGCAGCAGUGGGGAAUAUUGCACAAUGGGCGGAAGUCUGAUGCAGCAACGCCGCGUGCGGGAUGACGGCCUUCGGGUUGUAAACCACUUUCGCCUGUGACGAAGCGUGAGUGACGGUAAUGGGUAAAGAAGCACCGGCUAACUACGUG
This 468-nucleotide ribosomal RNA is filed under the name uncultured bacterium. RNAcentral describes it as "partial 16S ribosomal RNA". It matches the Rfam family "Bacterial small subunit ribosomal RNA", at positions 28 to 507 of the family's 1533-position model. The record is from RNAcentral.